AAAGGUGAAAAGAAGAAGGCAGAUGAUGAGGGACUUCAGGAGCAGAAGAGGAGCAUGAUGGCUCUGGACGCGCAGGCUCAGCCGCUCCGCGGCAUGUGGGAUCCUCCCAGACCGGGGCACGAACCCGCGUCCCCCGCAUCGGCAGGCAGGCUCUCAACCACUGCGCCACCAGGGAAGCCCGAUGCUUUAUCUUAAAGUAAGUACGCAUAAGCUGCAAUAUGCACCUUCAAGAACAUAAUUAGCACUGAAUCAACAUUUGGAUUAAUAUGUAACCAGACAUGUUUGUGGAGUCAGGGACUUCCUGUUAAUUUACAAUUUCCACUAUAAACAGCAGAACAAAUAUAACUAAGAGAUUAGCCCAGGGACCAAGUUAUUUUUUAUAGCAACAUGUCUCAUAUACCCACCAUCUUCAGCUAGGUAAACCACAGGAUCCUCCUUGGAGCUUGGAUAAAGGGGUUCUAUCUCCAGGCCUGUUGGGGUACAUUUGCUCAGGAUUAGAAGGGGUCCAAUCUGGAGAAAAAGAGAAAACAGAGGGACCUUCAAGAUGGCAGAGGAGUAAGAAGUGGAGAUCAUCUUCCUCCCCACAAAUAAAUCUACAUGUGGAACAACUCCUACAGAACACCUACUGAACGCUGGCAGAAGACCUCAGACCUCCCCAAAGGCAAGAAACUCCCCAUGUACCUGAGUAGGGCAAAAGAAUAAGAAAAAACAGAGACAAAAGGAUAGGGACAGGACCUGCACCAGUGGGAGGGAGCUGUGAAGGAGGAAAGGUUUCCACACACUAGGAAGCCCCUUAACUGGCAGAGACUGGGGGUGGUGGUGGGGGAAGCUUCAGAGCCACAGAGGAGAGCACAGCAACAGGGCUGCAGAGGGCAAAGCAGAGAGGUUCCCGCACAGAGGAUUGGUGCCAACCAGCACUCACCAGCCUAAGAGGCUUGUCUGCUCAUCUGCCAGGGCGGGUGGGGGCUUGGAGCUGAGGCUUGGGCUUUGGAGGUUGGAUCCCAGGGAGAGGACUGGGGUUGGCUGCGUGAACACAGCCUGAAGAGGCUAGUGCGUCACAGCUAGCCGGGAGGGAGUCUGGGAAAAGGUCUGGAGCUGCUGAAGAGGCAAGAGACUUUUUCUUGCCUCUUUGAUUCCUGGUGCGUGAGGAGAGGGGAUUCAGAGCGCCGCCUAAAGGAACUCCAGAGACGGGUGCGAGCCGCGGCUAUCAGCGCGGACCCCAGAGACAGGCAUGAGAUGCUAAGGCUGCUGCUGCCGCCACCAAGAAGCCUGUGUGCAAGCACAGGUCACUAUCCAUACCGCCUCUCCUGGGAGCCUGUGCAGCCCGCCACUGCCAGGGUCCCGUGAUCCAGGGACAACUUCCCCGAGAGAACACAUGGCGCACCUCAGCCUCUUAAAACAUCAUGCUGGCCUCUGCCGCCACAGGCUCGCCCCAUAUUCCAAACCCCUCUCUGCCCCCUGGCCUGAGUGAGCCAGAGGCCCCUAAUCAGCUGCUACCUAAACCCUGUCCUGUCUGAGCAGGAACAGAUGCCCUCAGGUGACCUACACACAGAGGUGGGGCCAAAUCCAAAGCUGAACCCCAGGAGCUGUGCUAACAAAGAAGAGAAAGGGAAAUCUCUCCCAGCAGUGGAUAAAAUCUCCACAAUCAACUUGAGGUACCCUGCAUUUGUGGAAUACCUGAAUAGAAAACAAAUCAUCCCAAAAUUGAGGCAGUGACUUUGGGAGCAACUGUCGACUUGGGGUUUGCUUUCUGCAUCUAAUUUGUUUCUGGUUUUAUGUUUAUCUUAGUUUAAUAUUUAGAGCUUAUUGUUGUUGGUAGAUUGUUUAUUGAUUUGGUUGCACUCUUCCUUUUUUAAAAUUUAUAUAGUAUUUUUUCCUUUUCUUCUUUUUGUGACUGUGUAUAUGUAUGCUUCUUUGUGUGAUUUUGUCUGUAUAGCUUUGCUUUUACCAUUUGUCCUAGGGUUGUCUGGUUUUUUUUCUUGGUAGUUUUUAGUGCUUGUUAUCAUUGGUGGAUUUGUUUUUUGGUUUCCUUGCUCCCUUCUUUAUUUUUAUUACUUUUGUUUUUAAUAUUUAUUUUUUAUUUUAGUAACUUUAUUUUGUUUUACUUUCUUUCUUUUUUUUCCCCUCCCUUUCCUCCCUUUUCAUCUGAGCCAAGUGACUGACAGGGUCUUGGUGCUCUGGCUGGGUGUCGGACCUGAGCUGAGUUCAGGAUACUGGUCUACCAGAGACCUCCCUGCACCACAUAAUAUGAAAUGGUGAAAGCUCUCUCAGAGAUCUCCAUCUCAACGCAAAGACCCUGCUCCACUCAACGACCAGCAAGCUACAGUGCUGGACACCCCAUGCCAAACAACUAGCAAGACAGGAACACAAUCCCACCCAUUAGCAGAGAGGCUGCCUAAAAUCAUAGUAAGUUCACAGACACCCUAAAGCACACGACCAGACGUGGUCCUGCCCACCAGACAGGUAAGAUCCAGCCUCAUCCACCAGAAUACAGGCACCAGUCCCCUCCACCAUGAAACCUACACAACCCAACUGAACCAACCUUACCCACUGGGGUUAGAAACCAAAAACAACGGGAACUAGGAACCUGCAGCCUGCGAAAAGAAGACCCCAAACACAGUAAGUUAAGCAAAAUGAGAAGACAGAGAAACACACAGCAGAUGAAGGAGCAAGGCAAAAACCCACCAGACCAAACAAAUGAAGAGGAAAUAGGCAGUUUACCUGAAAAAGAAUUCUGAGUGAUGAUGGUAAAGAUGAUCCGAAAUCUUGGAAAUAGAAUAGACAAAAUGCAAGAAACAUUUAACAAGGACCUAGAAGAACUAAAGAUGAAACAAACAAUGAUGAACAACACAAUAAAUGAUAUUAAAAAUUCUCUAGAAGGAAUCAAUAGCAGAAUAACUGAGGCAGAAGAAUGGAUAAGUGGCCUGGAAGAUAAAACAGUGGAUAUAACUACUGCAGAGCAGAAUAAAGAAAAAAGAAUGAAAAGAAUUGAGGACAGUCUCAGAGACCUCUGGGACAACAUUAAAUGCAUGAACCUUCAAAUUAUAGGGGAUCCCAG
This 3058-nucleotide long non-coding RNA is filed under the name Phocoena sinus (vaquita). Its description in RNAcentral is "lncRNA (ENSPSNG00000009329.1)". The record is from RNAcentral. Lineage: Eukaryota; Metazoa; Chordata; Mammalia; Artiodactyla; Phocoenidae.